GUGUAUCUGACAAUAACUAAUCUCUCUGAAAUGAAGUGCUUAUGUUGUUCAAGCCUUGAGUCUUAUAAAGACUUUUUUCCUUCUUUUCUGAAAUCACUUGUAUUCGUAGAUUGUCCGAAACAUAAGUAAUUGCCAGACAGGUUGCCUUCCACUUUGGAAACACUGGAAUUUGAUGACUGUCCAAGACUUGGGUUAUUGCCAAGACAUGGGUUUCCUUCCUCUCUUAAGGUGCUGAGCAUUAGCCGAUGCCCGCUUUUAAAAGCAAGGUAUGCCACUCCGAGAAGGGGUCAUGUGUCCAAGAUCGCUCACAUCCCUGUAGUAAAAAUAAAUUAUGAAGUGACAAUAUGAGCCAUGGGAAAGGAAAAGAAGAAUUGCACUUCCAUUUCAGAAGAGAAUGUAGACAAUGUAUUUUCACGCAUAAUCAAAACUGUAACGCAUCCUGCCCAAGCAAAAUUAUCCUUCAGGAUAUUUUUGUCAGACAUUGAGCAAACAAUGUGCCAAUCUUCCUCAUUGGGGAAUCCGUGUUAAUAAUCAAAUGGCUGAAUAUCCAUAUUGUCAAUUCAUCCCUGCUGGUCAGUGUGUCUCCUCAUGAUGAUGCCCCCGAGGUAUGCAAUUCCUCACUUAAUUAGCUUGAAACUCUUUUCUCUGCUCUUUGCCUCGUUUUUAUUGCAAGAAGACGAUUG
Trifolium pratense (red clover) is the source of this 683-nucleotide long non-coding RNA. RefSeq lists it as uncharacterized. NCBI's taxonomy places the organism in Eukaryota, Viridiplantae, Streptophyta, Magnoliopsida, Fabales, Fabaceae. The transcript is spliced from 3 exons. The record is from RefSeq and is a predicted model, not a curated record.